GCACCUUUGUCAGAUUAAGUUGGGUCACUUCGAGUUGCUGUCGUCUUUAGCUUCAGGAGUCGAAGAUUUAUUUUUGUACCAGAAUCGAAGCCUCCGUUUGGAGCAGGUUCUUAUUUAUCGCUUUAUUUAUUUAUUUCCCGCGUCGGUUUUAUUUUAUUUAUUUCCCGCACCGUUUUUAUUUUAUUUAUUUUCUGCACCGCUUUUAUUUUAU
RNAcentral lists this long non-coding RNA (211 nucleotides) under Lathyrus oleraceus (garden pea). Its description in RNAcentral is "Pisum sativum (pea) long non-coding RNA (PSAT_LNC028042)". Lineage: Eukaryota; Viridiplantae; Streptophyta; Magnoliopsida; Fabales; Fabaceae. The record is from RNAcentral.